This 492-nucleotide ribosomal RNA is filed under the name uncultured bacterium. RNAcentral's name for it is "partial 16S ribosomal RNA". It matches the Rfam family "Bacterial small subunit ribosomal RNA", at positions 29 to 507 of the family's 1533-position model. The record is from RNAcentral.
AGUGAACGCUGGCGGUAGGCCUAACACAUGCAAGUCGAACGGCAGCACAGUAAGAGCUUGCUCUUACGGGUUGCGAAUGGCGGACGGGUGAGGAGUACAUCGGACUCUACUUUUUCGUGGGGGUUCACGUAGCGAAACUUACGCUAAUACAGCAUACGACCUACCGUUGUAAGCAGUGGAUCUUCGCACCUUGCGCGGUUGAAUGAGCCGCUGUCGGAUUAGCUAGUUGGCGGGGUAAAGGCCCACCAAGGCGACGAUCCGUAGCCGGUCGGAGAGGAUGAUCAGCCACACUGGAACUUAGACACGGUCCAGACUCCUAAGGGAGGGAGCAGUGGGGUAUAGUGGACAGUGGUCGCGAGCCUGGUCCAGUGAUACGGCGUGUGUGAAGAAGGCGUUGGGGUUGUAAAGACCGUUUUUUGGGAAAGAAAAGCAGUCGGUUAAGACCCCGCUGGUCUGACGGUACUCAAUGAAUAAGCACCGGCUAACUUCGUG